GACGAACGCUGGCGGCGCGCUUAACACAUGCAAGUCGAACGGAAAGGCCUGCUUUCCCUUGUGGAUUGCGGGUACUCGAGUGGCGAACGGGUGAGUAACACGUGAGUGAUCUGCCCCCAACUUGGGUAUAAGCCUGGGAAACUGGGUCUAAUUCCCGAUAGGACUGCAGGGUGGUGCCUGUGGUGGAAAACGAUUUUCUAGUGGUUGGGGAUGGGCUCGCGGCCUAUCAGCUUGUUGGUGGGGUAAUGGCCUACCAAGGCGGCGACGGGUAGCCGGCCUGAGAGGGUGGACGGCCACAUUGGGACUGAGAUACGGCCCAGACUCCUACGGGAGGCAGCAGUGGGGAAUAUUGCACAAUGGGCGGAAGCCUGAUGCAGCGACGCCGCGUGGGGGAUGACGGCCUUCGGGUUGUAAACUCCUUUCGACCGCGAGGAAGCCACCUGGUUGGAAGGGUGGUGACGGUAGUGGUAGAAGAAGCACCGGCUAACUACGU
Molecule: ribosomal RNA, 493 nt
Filed under: uncultured bacterium
Lineage: Bacteria
Description: partial 16S ribosomal RNA
Rfam family: Bacterial small subunit ribosomal RNA
Source: RNAcentral